RNAcentral lists this ribosomal RNA (406 nucleotides) under uncultured bacterium. RNAcentral's name for it is "partial 16S ribosomal RNA". It matches the Rfam family "Bacterial small subunit ribosomal RNA", at positions 29 to 526 of the family's 1533-position model. The record is from RNAcentral.
AUUGAACGCUGGCGGCAGGCCUAACACAUGCAAGUCGAACGAGUGGCGGACGGGUGAGUAAUGUCUGGGAAACUGCCCGAUGGAGGGGGAUAACUACUGGAAACGGUAGCUAAUACCGCAUACCAUCAGAUGUGCCCAGAUGGGAUUAGCUUGUUGGUGGGGUAACGGCUCACCAAGGCGACGAUCCCUAGCUGGUCUGAGAGGAUGACGAGGCAAAAGGGAAAGGGGAAAAGGUCAAGACUCCUAAGGGAGGCAGCAGUGGGGAAUAUUGCACAAUGGGCGAAAGCCUGAUGCAGCCAGGCCGCGUGUAUGAAGAAGGACUUCGGGUUGUAAAGUACUUUCAGCGGGGAGGCGUUACCCGCAGAAGAAGCACCGGCUAACUCCGUGCCAGCAGCCGCGGUAAUAC